Molecule: long non-coding RNA, 984 nt
Organism: Oncorhynchus tshawytscha (Chinook salmon)
Lineage: Eukaryota; Metazoa; Chordata; Actinopteri; Salmoniformes; Salmonidae
Source: Ensembl
AAGAUGGUGCAGGUGGGGAAGACCGUGCAGGUAGGGAAGACCGUGCAGGUAGGGAAGACUGUGCAGGUGGGGACGACGGUGCAGGUGGGGAAGACUGUGCAGGUGGGUUCAGCCCUGUUCCACCUCUAUGUUAAUGUUAGUGUAUUUAUGCAAUUGAGGCACAUCAUCUUUAUUGUUAACACAAAGUAUUUAAAAAGUACAUGAUACCAAGGGAAAGUGAAUUCCCUGAAAUCCAUUCAUUAUUUGUCCAUAAUUCAGUCAAUAACUGAUGGAUUUUAAAAAUGCAAAAAGUUUAGAGUAUCUUCAUUCUUUGCCUGUUGCAUUUAUUAGUAUUGUUUUAAAACCUUUUAACAAUUUUGAUGACCAUUGCUAAAUGUAGUCUUUUUCUGCUUCGGGCGCCGAGCCUGAGCCCCUCGGUGUCUGUUAGUGAUUGCGAAUGUCUGAGUAACACGGAACCCAAACCGCUAUCGUGCAUAACUUUAUUUUGCCCCCCCCCACACCAAACGCGAUCACAACACCCAAGUUAAAAUAUCAAAACAAACUCUGAACCAAUGACAUUAAUUUGGGGACAGGUCGAAAAGCAUUCAACAUGUAUGGCAAUUUAGCUAGUUAGCUUGCACUUGCUGUGGCCUACAACACUUUUCCAUUGCUAUGGUUACUGCCCCCCAACAUAGAAGGAUCACUGCUGUCCCUGUCUUUGUUUCAUAGUCCAUUACACCACAGUCGUGUGUGUGUGUAAUAUAGGGUUGGGUGUUAUCCAGAUGUCCAUACCGUUCCAGUACCAUACGGUAUUACCAGUAGUGCACACAAGGGUGGCUAUUUCUUUGCAAAGGUAAAAAAUAAAAAGUAUGCUAAUAAAGUACUUGUGAAAUCCCAUAGCGGACACUACGUAAAUGCUAACAAGCGCAAGCGAACAUUAAACUAAAUGCAAGGACAGACAACCCAGCUCAUUAAGUUCUCAAAGGAAUACACUCGAACUUGAUC